Molecule: long non-coding RNA, 387 nt
Organism: Solanum lycopersicum (tomato)
Lineage: Eukaryota; Viridiplantae; Streptophyta; Magnoliopsida; Solanales; Solanaceae
Source: RefSeq, a predicted model, not a curated record
AAUAUAACAAAAAAUAUUUCUUCUUUGAUUAUAAUAAAGAGAUUCUCCCUUUCGAGUAUAAGUAUGUCUUUGGAAGAACAAUACGACUCGGGGUACAACAUUAGACCCAUUGCACAAGUUUUUAUUGCGGUCGGUGUUAUGAUCUUCGUUUUAAUUUUGAUAUUUAUAUUAGUCAAAAUUUAGAGAAACGUCGCAGUUAAAAGGCUGCAUGAUGAUGAGAUUGAAAUGGGGAAUCCUUAAAAUUAUUUUAUGAAAAAUGCUGUAAUUGGGAAUGAUAUAAAUUUGAUAUAGUAUUAAAAAUGUUGUAAUGGAAUGAAAUGAAUUUGAUAAAGUACUACUUUAUUAUGAAAAAUAUUGUAAUGGGAAUAAAAUGAAUUUGAUAUAGUA